This 380-nucleotide ribosomal RNA is filed under the name uncultured bacterium. Its description in RNAcentral is "bacterial SSU rRNA". It matches the Rfam family "Bacterial small subunit ribosomal RNA", at positions 28 to 409 of the family's 1533-position model. The record is from RNAcentral.
GACGAACGCUGGCGGCGUGCUUAACACAUGCAAGUCGAGCGGUAAGGCCCUUUCGGGGGUACACGAGCGGCGAACGGGUGAGUAACACGUGGGUGACCUGCCCUCAGCUCUGGGAUAAGCCUGGGAAACCGGGUCUAAUACUGGAUAUGACUCCAUGACGCAUGUUGUGGGGUGGAAAGCCUUGUGCGGCUGAGGAUGGGCCCGCGGCCUAUCAGCUUGUUGGUGGGGUGAGGCCUACCAAGGCGACGACGGGUAGCCGGCCUGAGAGGGCGACCGGCCACACUGGGACUGAGACACGGCCCAGACUCCUACGGGAGGGCAGCAGUGGGGAAUCUUGCGCAAUGGGCGAAAGCCUGACGCAGCGACGCCGCGUGAGGGAU